RNAcentral lists this ribosomal RNA (497 nucleotides) under uncultured bacterium. RNAcentral describes it as "partial 16S ribosomal RNA". It matches the Rfam family "Bacterial small subunit ribosomal RNA", at positions 28 to 507 of the family's 1533-position model. The record is from RNAcentral.
GAUGAACGCUGGCGGCGUGCCUAAUACAUGCAAGUCGAGCGAACAGACGAGGAGCUUGCUCCUCUGACGUUAGCGGCGGACGGGUGAGUAACACGUGGAUAACCUACCUAUAAGACUGGGAUAACUUCGGGAAACCGGAGCUAAUACCGGAUAAUAUAUUGAACCGCAUGGUUCAAUAGUGAAAGACGGUUUUGCUGUCACUUAUAGAUGGAUCCGCGCCGCAUUAGCUAGUUGGUAAGGUAACGGCUUACCAAGGCAACGAUGCGUAGCCGACCUGAGAGGGUGAUCGGCCACACUGGAACUGAGACACGGUCCAGACUCCUGCGGGAGGCAGCAGUACGGAAUCUUCCGCAAUGGGCGAAAGCUUGACGGAGCAACGCCGCGUGAGUGAUGAAGGUCUUCGGAUCGUAAAACUCUGUUAUUAGGGAAGAACAAAUGUGUAAGUAACUAUGCACGUCUUGACGGUACCUAAUCAGAAAGCCACGGCUAACUACGUG